Molecule: ribosomal RNA, 253 nt
Filed under: uncultured bacterium
Lineage: Bacteria
Description: partial 16S ribosomal RNA
Rfam family: Bacterial small subunit ribosomal RNA
Source: RNAcentral
UACGGAGGGUGCGAGCGUUAAUCGGAAUUACUGGGCGUAAAGGGUGCGUAGGUGGUUUAAUAAGUUAUCUGUGAAAGCCCUGGGCUCAACCUGGGAAGGUCAGAUAAGACUGUUAGACUGGAGUAUGGGAGAGGGUAGUGGAAUUUCCGGUGUAGCGGUGAAAUGCGUAGAGAUCGGAAGGAACACCAGUGGCGAAGGCGGCUGCCUGGCCUGAUACUGACACUGAAGCACGAAAGCGUGGGGAGCAAACAGG